AACGAACGCUGGCGGCAGGCUUAACACAUGCAAGUCGAGCGCCCCGCAAGGGGAGCGGCAGACGGGUGAGUAACGCGUGGGAACGUACCUUUUGGUUCGGAACAACUCCGGGAAACUGGAGCUAAUACCGGAUAAGCCCUAACGGGGAAAGAUUUAUCGCCGAAAGAUCGGCCCGCGUCUGAUUAGCUAGUUGGUGAGGUAACGGCUCACCAAGGCGACGAUCAGUAGCUGGUCUGAGAGGAUGAUCAGCCACACUGGGACUGAGACACGGCCCAGACUCCUACGGGAGGCAGCAGUGGGGAAUAUUGGACAAUGGGCGCAAGCCUGAUCCAGCCAUGCCGCGUGAGUGAUGAAGGCCUUAGGGUUGUAAAGCUCUUUUGUCCGGGAAGACAAUGACUGUACCGGAAGAAUAAGCCCCGGCUAACUUCGUG
RNAcentral lists this ribosomal RNA (431 nucleotides) under uncultured bacterium. RNAcentral's name for it is "partial 16S ribosomal RNA". It matches the Rfam family "Bacterial small subunit ribosomal RNA", at positions 29 to 507 of the family's 1533-position model. The record is from RNAcentral.